GAUGAACGCUGGCGGCGUGCCUAAUACAUGCAAGUCGAACGCUGGAAAUCUAGCUUGCUAGAUUGAAGGAGUGGCGAACGGGUGAGUAAUACAUAAGCAACCUACCCACGAAGACUGGGAUAAUCUCUGGAAACGGGGACUAAUACCGGAUAGGUAAUCGGAAGGCAUCUUCUGAUUAUUAAAGGUUAAAAACACUGGUGGAUGGGCUUAUGGCGCAUUAGUUAGUUGGUGAGGUAACGGCCCACCAAGACGAUGAUGCGUAGCCGGCCUGAGAGGGUGAACGGCCACAUUGGGACUGAGACACGGCCCAGACUCCUACGGGAGGCAGCAGUAGGGAAUUUGCGGCAAUGGGGGAAACCCUGACCGAGCAACGCCGCGUGAGUGAUGACGGCCUUCGGGUUGUAAAGCUCUGUUGUAAGGGAAGAACGGUAGAUAGAGAAUAUCUAAAUGACGGUACCUGACCAGAAAGCCACGGCUAACUACGUG
RNAcentral lists this ribosomal RNA (486 nucleotides) under uncultured bacterium. RNAcentral describes it as "partial 16S ribosomal RNA". It matches the Rfam family "Bacterial small subunit ribosomal RNA", at positions 28 to 507 of the family's 1533-position model. The record is from RNAcentral.